RNAcentral lists this ribosomal RNA (392 nucleotides) under uncultured bacterium. RNAcentral describes it as "partial 16S ribosomal RNA". It matches the Rfam family "Bacterial small subunit ribosomal RNA", at positions 523 to 918 of the family's 1533-position model. The record is from RNAcentral.
AUACGGAGGAUCCGAGCGUUAUCCGGAUUUAUUGGGUUUAAAGGGUGCGCAGGCGGCCAUUUAAGUCAGCGGUUAAAUCGUGGGGCUCAACCCCAUUCUGCCGUUGAUACUGGGUGGCUUGAUUGCGGUCGAGGUUGGCGGAAUUCGUUGUGUAGCGGUGAAAUGCAUAGAUAUGACGAAGAACACCGACUGCGUAGGCAGCUGACCAGACCGCAAAUGACGCUCAUGCACGAAAGUGCGGGGAUCGAACAGGAUUAGAUACCCUGGUAGUCCGCACAGUAAACGAUGAAUACUUGUUUUCGGCGAUAUAAUGUCGGAGGCAAAGCGAAAGCGAUAAGUAUUCCACCUGGGGAGUACGCCGGCAACGGUGAAACUCAAAGGAAUUGGCGGGG